Molecule: ribosomal RNA, 539 nt
Filed under: Pseudomonas azotoformans
Lineage: Bacteria; Pseudomonadati; Pseudomonadota; Gammaproteobacteria; Pseudomonadales; Pseudomonadaceae
Description: bacterial SSU rRNA
Rfam family: Bacterial small subunit ribosomal RNA
Source: RNAcentral
UGAAUUGGCGCGGUCUACACAUGCAGUCGAGCGGUAGAGAGAAGCUUGCUUCUCUUGAGAGCGGCGGACGGGUGAGUAAUGCCUAGGAAUCUGCCUGGUAGUGGGGGAUAACGUUCGGAAACGGACGCUAAUACCGCAUACGUCCUACGGGAGAAAGCAGGGGACCUUCGGGCCUUGCGCUAUCAGAUGAGCCUAGGUCGGAUUAGCUAGUUGGUGAGGUAAUGGCUCACCAAGGCGACGAUCCGUAACUGGUCUGAGAGGAUGAUCAGUCACACUGGAACUGAGACACGGUCCAGACUCCUACGGGAGGCAGCAGUGGGGAAUAUUGGACAAUGGGCGAAAGCCUGAUCCAGCCAUGCCGCGUGUGUGAAGAAGGUCUUCGGAUUGUAAAGCACUUUAAGUUGGGAGGAAGGGUUGUAGAUUAAUACUCUGCAAUUUUGACGUUACCGACAGAAUAAGCACCGGCUAACUCUGUGCCAGCAGCCGCGGUAAUACAGAGGGUGCAAGCGUUAAUCGGAAUUACUGGGCGUAAAGCGCGC